UUUCCGUAGGUGAACCUGCGGAAGGAUCAUUCAUAAUAAGUGUUUUAUGGCACUUUUUUAAUCCAUAUCCACCUUGUGUGCAAUGUCAGGGUUGAUUUUUCUCUCGAGAGGAUCAGCCGCAAACAUCAACUAUAUCUCAACUCUUUGUCUGAAAAAUAUUAUGAAUAAAACAAUUCAAAAUACAACUUUCAACAACGGAUCUCUUGGCUCUC
RNAcentral lists this unclassified non-coding RNA (212 nucleotides) under plant metagenome. RNAcentral's name for it is "partial contains small subunit ribosomal RNA, internal transcribed spacer 1, and 5.8S ribosomal RNA". The record is from RNAcentral.